This 345-nucleotide ribosomal RNA is filed under the name uncultured bacterium. Its description in RNAcentral is "partial 16S ribosomal RNA". It matches the Rfam family "Bacterial small subunit ribosomal RNA", at positions 917 to 1269 of the family's 1533-position model. The record is from RNAcentral.
GGACCCGCACAAGCGGUGGAGCAUGUGGUUUAAUUCGAUGCAACGCGAAGAACCUUACCAGGGUUUGACAUAGUACGAAGUUUUUUGAAAAAAAAUCCACCUUCGGGAACGUACAUACAGGUGGUGCAUGGCUGUCGUCAGCUCGUGUCGUGAGAUGUUGGGUUAAGUCCCGCAACGAGCGUAACCCUUGUUUUUAGUUGCCUUUCGAGGAUAUUUAGAAAGACUGCCGAUUAUAAAUCGGAGGAAGGUAAGGACGACGUCAAGUCAUCAUGCCCCUUUACACUCUGGGCUACACACGUGCUACAUUGGGUAGAACAAUAAGUUGCUAAGUUGCGAAACCAAGCG